Molecule: long non-coding RNA, 179 nt
Organism: Empidonax traillii (willow flycatcher)
Lineage: Eukaryota; Metazoa; Chordata; Aves; Passeriformes; Tyrannidae
Exons: 3
Source: RefSeq, a predicted model, not a curated record
GGUCCUGACCAAACAAAACCCCUACACACUGUGUGAGGAAAGAAGAGCCCUGUACUACACAUGGGGAAGUGGUUGGGGAAGUCGGUGUGGGUUUCUCCUCCCAUGGGGAAAGGCAAACCCAUUUGUGGGAUUGUCUUUGCUCAGGGACCAGGGUGUACCUGGCAAGUGGGACAGGAAAA